GGCGGUGGUCAAACGGUCAUCACGGAGGGCUUUCAACCCUUUUGUCUUGGGUUUGAAUCCUGGUUCCGCCG
Molecule: transfer RNA, 71 nt
Filed under: Fasciola hepatica (liver fluke)
Lineage: Eukaryota; Metazoa; Platyhelminthes; Trematoda; Plagiorchiida; Fasciolidae
Rfam family: tRNA
About the family: Transfer RNA (tRNA) molecules are approximately 80 nucleotides in length.
Source: Rfam by way of RNAcentral